RNAcentral lists this small RNA (133 nucleotides) under Lachnoclostridium sp. An14. RNAcentral describes it as "Clostridiales-1 RNA". It matches the Rfam family "Clostridiales-1 RNA". Lineage: Bacteria; Bacillati; Bacillota; Clostridia; Lachnospirales; Lachnospiraceae. The record is from Rfam by way of RNAcentral.
CGCGGAUUGGUUAAUUCGUCUCAGGCAUAAGUAAUUAUGCCUGGGACUUUUUGUUUUUCGCAGAAAAACGAGCGGAUUAUGAAUGUUUCCCAGGAUUGCGGGAGUGCGCAGCACGAAGCAAUCCGUAUCCCCG